Molecule: unclassified non-coding RNA, 740 nt
Filed under: Homo sapiens (human)
Lineage: Eukaryota; Metazoa; Chordata; Mammalia; Primates; Hominidae
Description: autophagy related 16 like 1 (ENSG00000281089.3)
Source: RNAcentral
UGGUCAAGGUCCACUGAUCAACCGUCUAUAUACACUCUUACUAAAACCUGCAAGAGAACAAGGAGAGGUUCACUCUCACAACUCACAGAGAACACCGAUCUGGAUGUUCUGGCCAACCAACCAUUGAAAAGAAGGAGUGAUCACCCACCUAGAAACCUAAGAAAAUGAGCUGAAAAGCUGUUAACACAAGUUCAGCAGAUGCCAGGAGGCGGCAAGCCCGGCUGCAGAAAGAGCUUGCAGAAGCAGCAAAGGAACCUCUACCAGUCGAACAGGAUGAUGACAUUGAGGUCAUUGUGGAUGAAACUUCUGAUCACACAGAAGAGACCUCUCCUGUGCGAGCCAUCAGCAGAGCAGCCACGAGACGCUCUGUCUCUUCCUUCCCAGUCCCCCAGGACAAUGUGGAUACUCAUCCUGGUUCUGGUAAAGAAGUGAGGGUACCAGCUACUGCCUUGUGUGUCUUCGAUGCACAUGAUGGGGAAGUCAACGCUGUGCAGUUCAGUCCAGGUUCCCGGUUACUGGCCACUGGAGGCAUGGACCGCAGGGUUAAGCUUUGGGAAGUAUUUGGAGAAAAAUGUGAGUUCAAGGGUUCCCUAUCUGGCAGUAAUGCAGGAAUUACAAGCAUUGAAUUUGAUAGUGCUGGAUCUUACCUCUUAGCAGCUUCAAAUGAUUUUGCAAGCCGAAUCUGGACUGUGGAUGAUUAUCGAUUACGGCACACACUCACGGGACACAGUGGGAAAGUG